GCAAUGUUUACACUGGCUGACGCUAUUUGCCUUAGAUCUCAGAAAUGCCGUGAAGCAACCUUUAUCUUGUGCGAUUCUUGCUGGAAGAUAAUAGAAUGUGAGUACAAAAACUCUUUUUUGGCCACGUCCUUACAUCCUAUUAUCAUCAAACGCACACGUACGCAAACCCUGCUUGAUGAGACACACACACUUCUGUCAACACUCCCUGGGGCAGUACUGUUAAUUCCUCCCAGCCUAUUCUCAGUCACACAUGGCCAUGGAGGCGGUCGGCGGCAGAGCCUCACUGCUAGAUUAACCUUUGCUCUCGCCACGGAUCUGUUUUCCGCGAAGCCGGCGCUGGGAUGAGGGGCCUUGGCUGGCAGAGAGAUGUGGACACAGGGCGGAGGUGUCUACGAGCGCCCGCAACCCACCCCCACAAGGCUGCCACCCCCACUCAUCCCUUAUGCGCACAUGGAUGCACGCGGGCGAGAGUUCAGAAAAUGCCCUGCGGCCUCACUACUAGCCAGGCAGUGAAACACUUUUGGACGUCCACCUGUGAUGAAUCCACAUCCAGAAGCUCGGCUUGACUGGUAUUUUUCAUAAAUAAUGGCCCAAGGCCAGUGCUGAUGGCGACAUGCAAAAUGUCAA
Molecule: long non-coding RNA, 627 nt
Organism: Phyllopteryx taeniolatus (common seadragon)
Lineage: Eukaryota; Metazoa; Chordata; Actinopteri; Syngnathiformes; Syngnathidae
Exons: 3
Source: RefSeq, a predicted model, not a curated record